Molecule: non-coding RNA, 425 nt
Organism: Pelobates cultripes (western spadefoot toad)
Lineage: Eukaryota; Metazoa; Chordata; Amphibia; Anura; Pelobatidae
Source: the annotation of a GenBank genome assembly
AUUCUCUCUACCUUACCAGAACUCUGGGGUCUAUAUGCCGUAUGAAGCCUCCACUUUAUACCAAGUAUAUGAGUCAAUUGUUGUAGGCACUGAUGAACAAAAGCUGGACCAUUGUCCGAUCCUAUAGAGCAGGGUAGUCCAUAUCGGGGUAUUAUUUCUCGUAGCAGGAAUCUCACGACUUCUCCUGCUUUCUCUGUACGAGCAGGACAUGCUUCUACCCAGCCUGAAUAGGUGCACACCACUACCAGCAGGUAGCGAUGUCCACCCGAUUUAGGCAUCACUGUAUAGUCAAUUUGUAAAUCGGACAUGGGAAGUCCCCCCAUAAACUGGACUCCUGGUGGCUUUACCGGUCCUUGUCUUGCAUUAUUUUUAGCACACGUUACACAUCUACGUACAAUGGCCUGAGUCAAGUUGGACAAUCUUGG